CCCCUAGUCCCACUAGUCUAUCCUCCCAGCCUCUCAGACUGAACUUCCUAGUCCCACUAGACUAUCCACCCAGCCUCUCAGACUGAAUCUUCUAGUCCCACUAGACUAUCCUCCCAGCCUCUCAGACUGAAUCUUCUAGUCCCACUAGACUAUCCUUCCAGCCUCCCAGACUGAAUCUCCUAGUCCCACUAGACUAUCCUUCCAGCCUCUCAGACUGAAUCUCCUAGGCCCACUAGACUAUCCUCCCAGCCUCUCAGACUGAAUCUCCUAGUCCCACUAGUCUAUCCUCCCAGUCUCUCAGACUGAAUCUCCUAGUCCCACUAGACUAUCCUCCCAGUCUCUCAGACUGAAUCUUCUAGUCUCUCAGACUACCUUCCCAGCCUCUCAGACUGAAUCUUCUAGUCUCUCAGACUACCUUCCCAGCCUCUCAGACUGAAUCUUCUAGUCUCUCAGACUACCUUUCCAGCCUCUCAGACUGAAUCUUCUAGUCUCUCAGACUACCUUUCCAGCCUCUCAGACUGAAUCUUCUAGUCUCUCAGACUACCUUUCCAGCCUCUCAGACUGAAUCUUCUAGUCUCUCAGACUACCUUUCCAGCCUCUCAGACUGAAUCUUCUAGUCUCUCAGACUACCUUUCCAGCCUCUCAGACUGAAUCUUCUAGUCUCUCAGACUACCUUCCCAGCCUCUCAGACUG
RNAcentral lists this long non-coding RNA (693 nucleotides) under Helianthus annuus (common sunflower). RNAcentral describes it as "hypothetical non coding rna". Lineage: Eukaryota; Viridiplantae; Streptophyta; Magnoliopsida; Asterales; Asteraceae. The record is from RNAcentral.